AAUCUGCAGAUUGAUCUGCGGAUUUACUGCAGAAAUUGUCUUUAGAUUCUUAGCCCAAGACUCUUGAAGUUCCUGAGGUCACGAAGAAGG
Long non-coding RNA from Telopea speciosissima, 90 nucleotides. RefSeq lists it as uncharacterized. Lineage: Eukaryota; Viridiplantae; Streptophyta; Magnoliopsida; Proteales; Proteaceae. The record is from RefSeq and is a predicted model, not a curated record. The transcript has 3 exons.